Molecule: long non-coding RNA, 1387 nt
Organism: Brienomyrus brachyistius
Lineage: Eukaryota; Metazoa; Chordata; Actinopteri; Osteoglossiformes; Mormyridae
Exons: 2
Source: RefSeq, a predicted model, not a curated record
GCUGCUGCUGCUCGCCGCAUGUUUCGCUUCCCUACUGCUCGCUACGUGCCGGAGGAAGCGACUGCACCGCACAGAAGGGGGCGCUGCGGCACCAGAGGGACACCGGAACCUGGGACAACAGAUCAACCCAAGAAGACUUCUGACUUUUUCCGAGGACGUCUUCUGUCACGAUGAUGCAUUGCAGGAAUGUGACAUAUUAGGAUCCAUGCUAUAUGGAAAACAAGGAAUUUAUAUCAAGAAGGAAGACGUGUCCACUGUGACGACGUGUGACGGAGUGCGAUGGGUCUGAGGUCCCGAGUGUAAUGGCCCCAGUGUUCGUUAUCUCGCAGCUACUCACCAGAGGUACAUCAAUCAUUCAUGCUUCGAGGACUCCACACAGGUCCCUCACUGACCCCACCUCACGUGCGGAACGGGCCACGUCGAGGGCAAACGAGGUCACCGAAAGUGAACAUCAAACCGCCGAAGACGAACAGGCCCCCUGACAGAGCUUUGCUGAAACGGGAACAGGGGAAAGCGAGAAACAUGAGUGGCACAUCAUCGCCGGGGCCUGUGGCGUUACACGGGGCGACGUCGGCUGAACGGAAGGUGGAGACAUGCUUAACGGAGCAGACGGACAGCGACGAUGAGGGCGAGGAUGAAGAUAAGACAGAGAACGUGGAGAACCUCUAUAAGUCUGUACAAACCAAUUCUAUAAAGAACUAUUAGAACCCAUCUAUCCCAGGGUUGGUGGCAUGAUGUCACCAUUGGGCUCCUGUGCGAGGCCCCUAACCCUCAUCUGCUCCAGGACUGGCUCACCCUGCUCUCCUGAAUGUGUGUCACUUUUGAUAAAAGCAUCCGCUAAGUAUAUAAAACUCAAAUUCUCUCUACAGCACUUCGGUCCUGUGUGGUUGUUUUAAAGUGCUUUAUAAAUAAAGUUGGUAUGGUAUAAAGCGUGAAAUGUAAAUAUGUACCCCAGUGUUGCACAGAAGUAGCUUUUCUCAUGUCGCUUUAGUAAUAUUACAUCUCGCGAGAAUGCAGCUCUUUUUUAAAUGAAUACUUCACUUUCCAGAUUAACGCUGUGAAGUUUAAUGCUAUUCUGAAUGCCUAAGAACAAAUUCUUCCUUCAUUUGAGAAUAUAUGUUUGUAAAUGAAUCAAUUUUCUGCUUGAAAUGACCGUAACUUUUUGCAGUAAAACAUAAAAAAUUGCUGCCUCGUUCCUCCUGAUUGUCAUCAUCGGUCGCAGGAUGUGGCCUGACUGCGCUGGCAGCGGGGGACUGAUCUUGUAACCCUCCUGCCACCAUAAUUAUCCUGAUUCCACUCGGGCAGAAACAGACAACGCUGACAAUUUGCCCACCAUAUCCUUCCUAUAACAAAUUCUGGUCAAAAAUAAAAACUGGAUUUAAGACUU